CGUACACUCCUACGGGAGGCAGCAGUGGGGAAUUUUACGCAAUGGGGGAAACCCUGACGUAGCGACACCGCGUGAGCGAAGAAGCCCUUUGGGGUGUAAAGCUCUGUCAGCUGGAACGAAAACAAUGACGGUACCAGCAGAGGAAGCAUCGGCUAACUACGUGCCAGCAGCCGCGGUAAGACGUAGGAUGCGAGCGUUGUCCGGAUUUAUUGGGCGUAAAGAGUUCGUAGGUGGUUUGUUAAGUUUGGUGUUAAAGAUCGGGGCUCAACCCUGGGACUGCACUGAAUACUGGCAGACUCGAGUGUGGUAGAGGCUAGUGGAAUUCCCAGUGUAGCGGUGAAAUGCGUAGAUAUUGGGAAGAACACCGGUGGCGUAGGCGACUAGCUGGGCCAUAACUGACGCUGAGGAACGAAAGCCAGGGGAGCGAAUGGGAUUAGAAACCCGGGUAGUCCCAUG
Molecule: ribosomal RNA, 456 nt
Filed under: uncultured organism
Description: partial 16S ribosomal RNA
Rfam family: Bacterial small subunit ribosomal RNA
Source: RNAcentral